UUGCAAAUCCCUAGAACAACAGGCGGUUUGCUCAGACAUGAAAAGAUGGAUACACAGUAAGUAGGAGGAGGCAGUUCAGGUAUCUUUGUAAGAUUUUUGGAUUCAAGUGAAAGAUUCUCCAAUGCUGUUGCAGAAGCCCUCUGGAUGUUAUCUUGACUGUUGGAUUGAAGGAGAUCAAGGAAAAGUGAAGGAAGAUUUUUCUCACAGCAGAACAAAGUGGCGUCAGUCUCCUUGGUGAGUGCGAAGGUGAUCCGAGCGAGAAUACUAACAAGUCCUUCGAGAAAUGUUCUCUCGAACCGGAUUCCUCUGAUUUCUCCUUGGCGAAUACCAACUAUCUUGGAGAUGAUUUUGUUCUCAUGUAUCUCAACAAACUGAACCAAGCUUAUGAUGGCAGCUGAGUUUCUGAUGGCAGAAACAACAUUAAUAACCGAGUUUGGACAGCUAGUGAGUCCAACAAGAACCGCCAACAGCUUUCCUUGGAUUUCUGGACCAGUGUUGCUUGUUAGUUGGAGAAGGUUCUCCACUAUUUCCUCUGAAACAAGAGUUUGGUGAUGAGGUCCAACAGGAACUUUGUCGAAGUCGUACCCAAUGUUCACUAUAUUGGCAAGAAUAGUUGCAGAGACUUCUUUAAGUCGGAUUGGAAGCUGGUUUGGCCCAACAUAGAACAAGUCUUUGAUAAGCGGUGGGAGAAUUCCGGUGUUGAUUAAGAGUUUAGCACUCCCUUCAAAGGAUGAGAUGUUGUUAAGAGCUCCCAAAGCAGCUUCCCGUUGGCUCAUGUCGCGAGUUCUCAUAAGAUCGAUAAGAGAAGAACCCACAGUCUGAGCCACAAUAACUUUCACAUCGUUAUUUAAAGCAAGAACCCCAAGAUAGAAAGCCAUGGAAACUUUUGUUUCCGGUGAACCUGUAGAUGCAGACUUCAAGAAGUUUAGCAAGAAGAGGCUGCAGUCUACCAUUGAUAGCCAUCUGUCGAACAUUUUCCUCUGACCUCUCCAAAUUUGUCAAAGUUUUAUCAGCUUUCUCAACAGUUGAAACAUUCUCUGAUUUGCUGCUUGUCAGACCAACCAAUAAGAUGAUUGCUCCAUGGAUUGAUCCAAUCUUCUCGCAUAAUGCUUCAGAUUUAGAGAGCUCAAACAACACGGAAACAGCUGCUUCCCUCCCCUUUGAUGGCUCUUGAGACAAGAACUUAACUAUAGUACGCACAGUGUCUCCUUCAGCUACUAUUGCCUGAAACACACUAAAACUCCUUCAACGACUACUUGAAGAGUUUGUAGAGCCUUACACCGCACUUCAUGACUACUACUCUUUAGCAUAUCGGUAAUCAACCGAACAAGCUGAGGAUUGCACACACGUUGCCUAAUUUUACGUAUAUUCCUACAAAUCUCUCUGACAUUCUUCAAAGCCAGCAAAAUAUUAGUCUCAGCAUUUCCCAAAUAAAGUGACUGACGAGCAAUAUCAAGCUUCAAAGCAUCAUUCCUUGCUCUCCACUCUUCAAUAGUGUUACGUAAAGCUAUACUUGGACUUAGAUCAGUGAUACUCAACUCCUUAGAAGUUAUAGGACAAGAUAGAGGUUGACCGUUUUCACGACAUUCUUGAAACCAUUUCUCAAUAGCUUCACGCUCAAAUGUCUGACCAUUCUCUAAAGUGACAGGAUUAUGCAUAACUUGCUUUGUCAAUGGACAGAUAAAAGCUUCGUAUAUGUUAUCAAUCCCUGGCUCGAAUUGUGAGCUGUUAUCCGAUUGGCUUCCAUCCCAACUUCCACUUCCAGCCAUCUGAUGAAUUGAUUCUUCUACACCAUAGAAGCCCUGAAGAAGCUGUCUUAACCAAGAACAAAGGUCUUUAGCUUCUUCUUCUGCUAGCUUGAGAAAUUGAGAACGAUCUCUGGUUAAAUUCAAAACCUUUGAAAAGAAAACGGGUGAAAUCGAGUCAAAUCCAUGUAACACAACAUCGGUGUAGUCAAGUAUGAAUCCGCCAGAGAUAUUUUUGUGCCUGAAUCGAGACCGGAGGAAGAAAGAUGGAAACUAGAAGAGAGUUUCAGUCAUCUAAGCAAAAGAUGGGAAAGAAAAAACACACACCGACAAAAAAUAGAAAAUAGACAUAUACCAAAAAGCUUUGACAAUUAUUGAGAAGUCGUCAUGGGAAAACACAUGUGAACACCGAGACUACCCAAAAUAAAACGUUUUUUGUGUCAUUUUAAA
This 2195-nucleotide long non-coding RNA is filed under the name Arabidopsis thaliana (thale cress). RNAcentral's name for it is "ncRNA (AT1G09627)". Lineage: Eukaryota; Viridiplantae; Streptophyta; Magnoliopsida; Brassicales; Brassicaceae. The record is from RNAcentral.